UACGUAGGGGGCAAGCGUUGUCCGGAAUCAUUGGGCGUAAAGAGCGUGUAGGCGGUUCGGUAAGUCGGCUGUGAAAGUCCAGGGCUCAACCCUGGGAUGCCGGUGGAUACUGUCGGGCUCGAGUCCGGAAGAGGCGAGUGGAAUUCCUGGUGUAGCGGUGAAAUGCGCAGAUAUCAGGAGGAACACCGAUGGCGAAGGCAGCUCGCUGGGACGUGACUGACGCUGAGACGCGAAAGCGUGGGGAGCAAACAGG
This 253-nucleotide ribosomal RNA is filed under the name uncultured bacterium. RNAcentral's name for it is "partial 16S ribosomal RNA". It matches the Rfam family "Bacterial small subunit ribosomal RNA", at positions 524 to 776 of the family's 1533-position model. The record is from RNAcentral.